RNAcentral lists this ribosomal RNA (143 nucleotides) under uncultured eukaryote. RNAcentral describes it as "partial small subunit ribosomal RNA". It matches the Rfam family "Bacterial small subunit ribosomal RNA", at positions 1383 to 1525 of the family's 1533-position model. The record is from RNAcentral.
GUACACACCGCCCGUCACACCAUGGGAGUGGGUUUCACCAGAAGUCGGUAGCCUAACCGCAAGGAGGGCGCUUACCACGGUGGGAUUCAUGACUGGGGUGAAGUCGUAACAAGGUAGCCGUAGGUGAACCUGCAGAAGGAUCA